AGUGAACGCUGGCGGUAGGCCUAACACAUGCAAGUCGAACGGCAGCACAGUAAGAGCUUGCUCUUACGGGUGGCGAGUGGCGGACGGGUGAGGAAUACAUCGGAAUCUACUUUUUCGUGGGGGAUAACGUAGGGAAACUUACGCUAAUACCGCAUACGACCUACGGGUGAAAGCAGGGGAUCUUCGGACCUUGCGCGAUCGAAUGAGCCGAUGUCGGAUUAGCUAGUUGGCGGGGUAAAGGCCCACCAAGGCGACGAUCCGUAGCUGGUCUGAGAGGAUGAUCAGCCACACUGGAACUGAGACACGGUCCAGACUCCUACGGGAGGCAGCAGUGGGGAAUAAUGGACAAUGGGCGCAAGCCUGAUCCAGCCAUACCGCGUGUGUGAAGAAGGUCUUCGGGUUGUAAAGCCCUUUUGUUGGGAAAGAAAAGCAGCAGGUUAAUACCCCGCUGUUCUGACGGUACCCAAAGAAUAAGCACCGGCUAACUUCGUG
Molecule: ribosomal RNA, 492 nt
Filed under: uncultured bacterium
Lineage: Bacteria
Description: partial 16S ribosomal RNA
Rfam family: Bacterial small subunit ribosomal RNA
Source: RNAcentral